UUUUUUUUCCAAUCCUUUGAUAACUUUUGAUUUUGAACUCCAAAUUGGCCCAAAUAAAAUCCAGAAAAUUUGUAAAAUCUUGUUCUAUCAAGAUACAACUUUUGAGAGUAGUUUUCCCUCAAAAUAAAAUAUACAAAAAUACAUUUGCCCUAUAAACGCCUUUAGGGCUAUAUAUCUGUUUGAAUAAAAUACUUUUUCAACUCCAAUUAGUUAACCAAAAAUUAUGGGAUAGCUUAUAUAUGCAUUAAACCCUUUUUAUACAUCAACCCUAUUGGUUUGAAAAUCCAAAGGUUACAGGGAUGUAAACAAAAUCUCUUAAAGCCUUUUGUGAUUCAAAAUUUGAAUUCAAUCAUGCAAUUGUGGCAUGAUGCUCAUGGAUGCAAUGCACAUGUAAAGGUUUGAAAUUUUGGGAUGUUACACAGG
RNAcentral lists this long non-coding RNA (423 nucleotides) under Brachypodium distachyon (stiff brome). RNAcentral describes it as "long non-coding RNA (BDIS_LNC000759)". Lineage: Eukaryota; Viridiplantae; Streptophyta; Magnoliopsida; Poales; Poaceae. The record is from RNAcentral.